Molecule: long non-coding RNA, 1150 nt
Filed under: Bos indicus x Bos taurus (hybrid cattle)
Lineage: Eukaryota; Metazoa; Chordata; Mammalia; Artiodactyla; Bovidae
Description: lncRNA (ENSBIXG00000001817.1)
Source: RNAcentral
UAGAUCCAUCUAGCGAAUGUCACCAAACCAGAGAGGGCUUCCUGGAGGAGGUGACGCUACCCACAGGCCUCAGUGAGAGGCAAAAACCCGGAGAGUAAAGAAAAGGGAUUUAAGAAGAAAUGGUCCAGUGUUUCAAAGUUUCUCUCUCCCAAGUGGCUUCUUGCAUCCCAGGCAUCGAGAACUUUCUCCACCAAGAGUUUCAGAGACCCCUCCUGGGUGUGUGUCUUCCAUCAAGACUGGAGAAAGUUGAUGAGUGUGGGCGGCAGCCAGGACUGGCGUUUCUAAUUAACACGCAGGCAGGGAGAAUGCCUCUUCUUCCAGAGUCUGUAUUCAGCUGAUUGAAUAUCAGGGCUGGGGCUAAACUAUGAAUCGUGUGUCAAAAAUAAAGCCGGCGGUCUUCUCUUGUUAAAGGAACAGUGUCCCUGUUUCCAGUCCUCUGCUGGCUGGGGGAAUCGGAUGGCGUGUGGCUUUGAUCCUUGGGGCUGGGUGUGGGGACUGUGGGCUCAGCGUAGGGAUGAGAAAGGAGGGGCACUCAGGGAGUGGCGGGAUGGGCACCGGCUCAGGUUGGGAACCGCCAGAGGAAGGCAGAAAAGAACCCCAGGUAACUUGCAAGAUAUCCAUGCUUCCCCAGAAAGAGUAAAAUACGGGGUCAAAGGUGUUAACGCCUCAUCCUGCCAUCAUGAACAAAGUACCAUGCCCAGAUGGUCUUACAGGUGAGUUCUACAAAUAUUAAGAAGCAGAAGCUUCUUGUAUUACAUAAGUUGUUCCAGAAAAAAAGAAAGAAAAAGGAAAGCUACCCAAUUGACAUUUUGAUAGCAAGUCUGGAUAAGAGCACCAGAAAAUAGUCACUAGUAAUCUGAGAAAUGCUAAAACCUAAAUGGGAGGAAGUGUAUUUCUAUCUGCUUGAUAAAACCCAGAAAGUUGAGAACAUUAACAGCCAGUGAGCACGUGGGAAAAUGAAAGCCCUGAUGCAUGUUGGGGGUGGGGGCUGCAGUUUGAGGAGUAGUAUGCCAGCAUUUUAUGACAUGUAAUGUUUGCAUACAUCAUACUGCAGAAAUCCAAUUCCUGAGUAUUAACGCCAGAGCACCAGCCACACAGAUAUAUAAAAAUACCUAUGUUAGGCUGUUCAUCUCAACGUUGUUAGUGUAGG